UACGUAGGGGGCUAGCGUUGUCCGGAUUUAUUGGGCGUAAAGAGCGUGUAGGCGGCCAGGUAGGUCCGGUGUGAAAACUCGAGGCUUAACCUCGAGAUGUCAUCGGAAACCGUGCGGCUAGAGUCCGGAAGAGGAGAAUGGAAUUCCUGGUGUAGCGGUGAAAUGCGCAGAUAUCAGGAAGAACACCCGUGGCUAAGGCGGUUCUCUAGUACGGUACUGACGCUGAGACGCGAAAGCGUGGGGAGCGAACAGG
Molecule: ribosomal RNA, 253 nt
Filed under: uncultured bacterium
Lineage: Bacteria
Description: partial 16S ribosomal RNA
Rfam family: Bacterial small subunit ribosomal RNA
Source: RNAcentral